UACGGGGGGAGCAAGCGUUGUUCGGAUUUACUGGGCGUAAAGGGCGCGUAGGCGGCACCGCAAGUCGACUGUGAAAUCUCCGGGCUUAACCCGGAAAGGUCAGCCGAUACUGCGGGGCUAGAGUGCAGAAGGGGCAACUGGAAUUCUCGGUGUAGCGGUGAAAUGCGUAGAUAUCAGGAGGAACACCUGUGGCGAAAGCGGCUCACUGGACCACAACUGACGCUGAGGCGCGAAAGCUAGGGGAGCAAACAGG
Molecule: ribosomal RNA, 253 nt
Filed under: uncultured bacterium
Lineage: Bacteria
Description: partial 16S ribosomal RNA
Rfam family: Bacterial small subunit ribosomal RNA
Source: RNAcentral